RNAcentral lists this ribosomal RNA (253 nucleotides) under uncultured bacterium. Its description in RNAcentral is "partial 16S ribosomal RNA". It matches the Rfam family "Bacterial small subunit ribosomal RNA", at positions 524 to 776 of the family's 1533-position model. The record is from RNAcentral.
UACAGAGGGUGCGAGCGUUAAUCGGAAUUACUGGGCGUAAAGGGCGCGUAGGCGGUUAUUUAAGUUGGAUGUGAAAUACCUGGGCUUAACCUGGGAGUGGCAUUUAAUACUGAGUAGCUAGAGUACAGAAGGGGCAACUGGAAUUCUCGGUGUAGCGGUGAAAUGCGUAGAUAUCGAGAGGAACACCUGCGGCGAAGGCGGGUUGCUGGGCUGAUACUGACGCUGAGGCGCGAAAGCCAGGGGAGCGAACGGG